Molecule: ribosomal RNA, 1478 nt
Filed under: uncultured Flavobacteriia bacterium
Lineage: Bacteria; Pseudomonadati; Bacteroidota; Flavobacteriia
Description: 16S ribosomal RNA
Rfam family: Bacterial small subunit ribosomal RNA
Source: RNAcentral
AGAGUUUGAUCCUGGCUCAGGAUGAACGCUAGCGGCAGGCUUAACACAUGCAAGUCGAGGGGUAACGGGGAAGCUUGCUUCCGCCGACGACCGGCGCACGGGUGCGUAACGCGUAUACAAUCUACCUUGUACUGGGGUAUAGCCUUUAGAAAUGAAGAUUAACCCCCCAUAGUCUCUUAGAGUGGCAUCACUUCUAGAGUAAAGGUUACGGUAUAAGAUGAGUAUGCGUUCUAUUAGUUUGUUGGUGUGGUAACGGCACACCAAGACUACGAUAGAUAGGGGCCCUGAGAGGGGGAUCCCCCACACUGGUACUGAGACACGGACCAGACUCCUACGGGAGGCAGCAGUGAGGAAUAUUGGACAAUGGAGGCAACUCUGAUCCAGCCAUGCCGCGUGCAGGAAGACUGCCCUAUGGGUUGUAAACUGCUUUUAUACAGGAAGAAACACCUCUACGUGUAGAGGCUUGACGGUACUGUAAGAAUAAGGAUCGGCUAACUCCGUGCCAGCAGCCGCGGUAAUACGGAGGAUCCAAGCGUUAUCCGGAAUCAUUGGGUUUAAAGGGUCCGUAGGUGGAUAAUUAAGUCAGAGGUGAAAUCUUGCAGCUCAACUGUAAAAUUGCCUUUGAAACUGGUUAUCUUGAGUUAUUAUGAAGUAGUUAGAAUAUGUAGUGUAGCGGUGAAAUGCAUAGAUAUUACAUAGAAUACCAAUUGCGAAGGCAGAUUACUAAUAAUCAACUGACACUGAUGGACGAAAGCGUGGGUAGCGAACAGGAUUAGAUACCCUGGUAGUCCACGCCGUAAACGAUGGUUACUAGCUGUUUGGACUUCGGUCUGAGUGGCUAAGCGAAAGUGAUAAGUAACCCACCUGGGGAGUACGUUCGCAAGAAUGAAACUCAAAGGAAUUGACGGGGGCCCGCACAAGCGGUGGAGCAUGUGGUUUAAUUCGAUGAUACGCGAGGAACCUUACCAGGGCUUAAAUGUAAGUUGCAUUAGUUAGAGAUAGCUAUUUCUUCGGACCACUUACAAGGUGCUGCAUGGUUGUCGUCAGCUCGUGCCGUGAGGUGUCAGGUUAAGUCCUAUAACGAGCGCAACCCCUGUUGUUAGUUGCCAGCGAGUCAUGUCGGGAACUCUAGCAAGACUGCCAGUGCAAACUGUGAGGAAGGUGGGGAUGACGUCAAAUCAUCACGGCCCUUACGUCCUGGGCUACACACGUGCUACAAUGGUAGGUACAGAGAGCAGCCACUGCGCGAGCAGGAGCGAAUCUAUAAAACCUAUCACAGUUCGGAUCGGAGUCUGCAACUCGACUCCGUGAAGCUGGAAUCGCUAGUAAUCGGAUAUCAGCCAUGAUCCGGUGAAUACGUUCCCGGGCCUUGUACACACCGCCCGUCAAGCCAUGGAAGUUGGAAGUGCCUGAAGUCCGUCACCGUAAGGAGCGGCCUAGGGUAAAGUCGAUAACUAGGGCUAAGUCGUAACAAGGUA